AUGGAGGCGUGCUGCUGCUCCUCGUCGUCGGCCCCGCCCGCCUCCAUCCUCGCCACGGGCGCCGGCCUCCGCCGCCGCUUCUCCCCGGCAGCGGUUGCGGCCGCGGCGUCGGGCGGGAGGGCGGUGGCGCUCGCGCUUGCGCCCCCGCUCCGCGCCUCCUCCGCGGCUCUGCUGGCGGCGGCGCCUCGGCGGGGGCAGCAGCGGCGCGGGGCCGCGGGCCUCGUCGUCAGGGCGGUGUUCGAGCGGUUCACCGAGCGGGCGGUCAAGGCGGUGGUGCUCUCGCAGCGGGAGGCCCGCGGGAUGGGGGACGAGGUGGUGGCGCCGCACCACCUGCUGCUGGGCCUCGUCGCCGAGGACCGGUCCGCCGCGGGGUUCCUCGCGUCGGGCGUCCGAAUGGAGCGCGCCCGCGAGGCGUGCCGCGCCGCCGUCGGGAAGGGCGGGCCUGCUCAGGCCGCGACGGGGCUGGCCACGGACGUGCCCUUCUCUGGGGCCAGCAAGCGCGUGUUCGUCGCGGCCGUCGAGUUCUCCAGGAAUAUGGGGUGCAACUUUAUCUCCCCGGACCACAUUGCGCUCGGCCUCUUCGACCUGGACGAUCCGACAACCAACAGCAUCCUCAAGAGCUUAGGAGUAGUUCCCACUCAGCUAGCAAAGCAGGCUCUUACCCGAGUCAAAGGGGAGCUAGCAAAGGAUGGCAGAGAGCCUCUGGGUUUGUCUUCUUUCAAAUUGCGUGAUAAGUCUACUGCUGGAAAUGGGAGGACUGCCAUUGCCAAAUACUCCAAUAAAAAGAAAGAGAAGAGCGCACUAGCUCAAUUCUGUAUAGAUUUGACUAUGCGAGCCAGUGGAGGGUUUAUCGAUCCUGUUAUUGGUCGCACGAAGGAGAUUGAAAGAGUAGUUCAGAUUAUAUGCCGGCGCACAAAGAACAAUCCAAUUCUUUUGGGUGAAGCAGGUGUUGGCAAAACUGCCAUUGCUGAAGGGUUGGCUCUUAAAAUUGCUAAUGGAGAUGUACCUAUUUUUCUUGUGGGAAAACGUAUAUUGUCACUAGAUGUUGCUUUACUGAUGGCUGGUGCAAAAGAGAGGGGCGAAUUGGAAGCCAGGGUUACAAGCUUAAUACGUGAAGUGCGCAAAGCAGAUGAUGUUAUUCUUUUUAUCGACGAGGUUCAUACUCUUAUUGGCUCUGGAAUUGCUGGAAGAGGAAAUAAGGGAGCUGGUCUUGAUAUCGCUAAUCUGCUGAAACCUGCACUUGCUAGAGGUGAAUUGCAGUGCAUUGCAUCUACAACUCUGGAUGAGCACCGUUUGCAUUUCGAAAAGGAUAAGGCUUUGGCCCGCCGAUUCCAGCCAGUAUAUGUAAAUGAGCCCAGUCAGGAGGAUGCUGUGAAGAUAUUACUUGGUCUGCGUGAAAAAUAUGAGACUUAUCACAAAUGCAAAUACACCUUAGAAGGCAUCAAUGCAGCAGUUUAUUUAUCAGUGAGGUAUAUCCCUGACAGGCAUCUUCCUGACAAGGCUAUUGACCUAAUUGAUGAGGCUGGUAGCAGAGCUCGGAUGGAAUCAUUUAAAAAGAAGAAGGAAGAGCAGUGCUCUAUUAUUUUGAAGUCACCAGAUGAAUAUUGGCAAGAGAUUAGAGCUGUCCAGGCCAUGCAUGAAGUGGCACUGACUAACAGGUUGAAAUAUUCUCUAAAUGAAAAUGACCAAGAGAAUGAGGUUAAUGUUGAAGUACUGGAUGAUAGCAAGACAAGCCCGACAACAACACCCUCAGCUUCAGCUGAUGAACCAUCUGUGGUUGGGUUAGAGGAAAUUGCAAGAGUGACAUCAUUGUGGUCCGGCAUACCAGUCCAGCAGUUGACUGCAGAUGAAAGAAAGCUUCUAGUAGGACUAGACGAUGAACUCAGAAAGCGUGUCAUAGGUCAAGAUGAUGCUGUUGUGGCUAUAUCAAGAGCUGUGAAGAGAUCACGCACUGGCAUGAGUGAUCCUGACAGACCUAUUGCUACUCUACUUUUCUGUGGUCCAACAGGAGUUGGAAAGACUGAAUUAACUAAAGCUCUAGCAUCAACUUAUUUUGGAUCUGAGUCGGCUAUGGUUAGAUUGGAUAUGAGUGAGUACAUGGAGCGGCAUGCUGUGAGCAAGCUGAUAGGCUCUCCUCCAGGGUACAUGGGAUUUGGUGAAGGUGGUACUUUGACAGAAGCAGUCAGAAGAAAACCAUUCACUGUGGUAUUGUUUGAUGAAAUAGAGAAAGCUCAUCCUGAUAUUUUCAAUAUUCUUCUCCAAGUGUUUGAAGAUGGUCAUUUGACGGACUCACAGGGCCGCAGGGUUUCCUUCAAGAAUACAUUAAUUGUCAUGACAUCGAAUGUUGGUUCUACAUCGAUUUCCAAAGGAACGAUGAGCAUGGGUUUCCAGACGCAGAAUGAUACAGAAGAGAACACAUAUGCUGUAAUAAAAUCCUUGGUAAUGGAAGAGUUGAAGGCAUUUUUUCGACCUGAAUUGCUCAAUAGAAUGGAUGAGGUGGUUGUGUUCCGUCCACUUGAGAAGACUCAGAUGCUGGCUAUUCUUAAUAUAAUUCUGGAAGAGGUGAACGGUAGGCUGUUGGCGCUCGGUAUCGGCUUAGUAGUGUCUGAUGCCAUGAAGAACAUGAUUUCUCAGCAAGGAUACGACAAGAGCUAUGGUGCGCGGCCACUUAGAAGGGCGGUCACUCAGUUGGUUGAGGAUGUCAUCAGCGAAGCAAUUCUCUCUGGGCAGUACAAACCUGGCGAUACCAUAAUGAUGGACACUGAUGACAAGGGAAAACCUUGCUUGAGCCGGUUGAAUGAUCAGACUGUUCAAGUUUCUGAUCCAACACCAACGCUUUGA
Molecule: ribosomal RNA, 2841 nt
Filed under: Triticum aestivum (bread wheat)
Lineage: Eukaryota; Viridiplantae; Streptophyta; Magnoliopsida; Poales; Poaceae
Description: partial small subunit ribosomal RNA
Source: RNAcentral